This 73-nucleotide transfer RNA is filed under the name Ailuropoda melanoleuca (giant panda). It matches the Rfam family "tRNA". Rfam says of the family: Transfer RNA (tRNA) molecules are approximately 80 nucleotides in length. Their secondary structure includes four short double-helical elements and three loops (D, anti-codon, and T loops). The record is from Rfam by way of RNAcentral. Lineage: Eukaryota; Metazoa; Chordata; Mammalia; Carnivora; Ursidae.
ACCUGGCUGGCUCGGUUGGUAGAGCAUGGGACUUCUGAUCUCGGGGCCGUGAGUUCAAGCCCUACGUUGGGCG